AGAGAUGGUUAUUAGCAUUGCCCCCUGGAGAGAGAUGUUUAUUAGCAUUGCCAGGGCCCUUUGACUCCUGCUCCGAUGCUGGGUAUCCAAUGAGUGGUUAACCCAAGAGCAUGUUGGGGAAGGGACAAACAGAACCUGCGUAAACCCCAGGGUAGGGCCAAAGCAACUGUCCUGAUGCCCUGGGAGAGCUCUCUCAUGGAGAGGUGGCAUGCACAGGGCUGACGGGGCUGCAGGCUCACCAUGGAGUAGCCAUACACAUGGAUCUUCUUGUCCUGGCUCUGGUGAGAGAUGCGCCCUCCGCCCAGACACUCACAGUCGUAGCCCUGCUUCUGCAUCUCACCGGACACUUUGUCGUAUAUGUCCGCUGGGAUGAGACGGCAGCCUCAGGACGCGCGCCCUAGCGGCCCUUGGAGGCCGUGGGAUGAUCUCAACCCAUGAAGAAAUCUGAAGUCCCAUCCCUUCCCCAGUGGAGACGAACGCCUCCCAGGCUGGGGCAGUAUUAAGCCGCGCACGAUCUCCUUGGUUUCCGCAGCUGGGGCACCGGAGGGAGGUGCCGAGUGGACUCGAAUCAGCACGUACUUAAAGACGCCGUCGGAGUCGAUGUCUACAUCAGG
Long non-coding RNA from Otolemur garnettii (small-eared galago), 614 nucleotides. RefSeq lists it as uncharacterized. The transcript is spliced from 3 exons. NCBI's taxonomy places the organism in Eukaryota, Metazoa, Chordata, Mammalia, Primates, Galagidae. The record is from RefSeq and is a predicted model, not a curated record.